This 253-nucleotide ribosomal RNA is filed under the name uncultured bacterium. RNAcentral's name for it is "partial 16S ribosomal RNA". It matches the Rfam family "Bacterial small subunit ribosomal RNA", at positions 524 to 776 of the family's 1533-position model. The record is from RNAcentral.
GACAGAGGGUGCAAGCGUUAAUCGGAAUUAUUGGGCGUAAAGAGCGCGUAGGUGGAUUGUUAAGUUGGAUGUGAAAUCCCUGGGCUUAACCUGGGAAUUGCAUUCAAAACUGGCAGUCUAGAGUAUGGUAGAGGGAAGUGGAAUUUCUGGUGUAGCGGUGAAAUGCGUAGAUAUCAGAAAGAACACCAGUGGCGAAGGCGACUUCCUGGACCAAUACUGACACUGAGGUGCGAAAGCGUGGGGAGCAAACAGG